UAGAAGUGGGUGGAGGGGGGGGUGGUUGUAGGUGGGGUGUGGGGGUUGUCCGGAAUUAUUGGUCGUAAAGAGUGCGUAGGCUGCUUGUCGCGUUGUUCGUGAAAAUUUACCGCUCAACGGGGAACUUGCGGGGGAUUCGGGCAGGCUAGAGUACUGCAGGGGAGACGGGAAUUCCUGGUGUAGCGGUGAAAUGCGCAGAUAUCAGGAGGAACACCGGUGGCGAAGGCGGGUCUCUGGGCAGUAACUGACGCUGAGGAGCGAAAGCGUGGGGAGCGAACAGGAUUAGAUACCCUGGUAGUC
Molecule: ribosomal RNA, 300 nt
Filed under: uncultured Enterorhabdus sp.
Lineage: Bacteria; Bacillati; Actinomycetota; Coriobacteriia; Eggerthellales; Eggerthellaceae
Description: bacterial SSU rRNA
Rfam family: Bacterial small subunit ribosomal RNA (bases 52-300)
Source: RNAcentral